RNAcentral lists this ribosomal RNA (526 nucleotides) under uncultured bacterium. Its description in RNAcentral is "partial 16S ribosomal RNA". It matches the Rfam family "Bacterial small subunit ribosomal RNA", at positions 28 to 523 of the family's 1533-position model. The record is from RNAcentral.
GACGAACGCUGGCGGCGCGCCUAAUACAUGCAAGUCGAACGAAGCUGUUUUAACUGGUGCUUGCACCGACUUAAACAACUGAGUGGCGAACGGGUGAGUAACACGUGGGUAACCUGCCCAGAAGCGGGGGAUAACAUUUGGAAACAGAUGCUAAUACCGCAUAAAAGUCAAAACCACAUGGUUUUGAUUUAAAAGAUGGCCUUUGUGCUAUCACUUCUGGAUGGACCUGCGGCGUAUUAGCUAGUUGGUAAGGUAAUGGCUUACCAAGGCAAUGAGACGUAGCCGAACUGAGAGGUUGAUCGGCCACAAUGGGACUGAGACACGGCCCAUACUCCUACGGGAGGCAGCAGUAGGGAAUCUUCCACAAUGGGCGCAAGCCUGAUGGAGCAACACCGCGUGAGUGAAGAAGGGUUUCGGCUCGUAAAACUCUGUUGUUAAAGAAGAACGUAUCUCCGAGUAACUGCUUAGGUAGUGACGGUAUUUAACCAGAAAGCCACGGCUAACUACGUGCCAGCCGCCGCGGUAA